GAUGAAGAACGUAGCGAAAUGCGAUAAGUAAUGCGAAUUGCAGAAUUCAGUGAAUCAUCGAAUCUUUGAACGCACAUUGCGCCCGCUAGUAUUCUGGCGGGCAUGCCUGUUCGAGCGUCAUUUCAACCCUCAAGCUCAGCUUGGUGUUGGGACUCGCGGUAACCCGCGUUCCCCAAAUCGAUUGGCGGUCACGUCGAGCUUCCAUAGCGUAGUAAUCAUACACCUCGUUACUGGUAAUCGUCGCGGCCACGCCGUAAAACCCCAACUUCUGAAUGUUGACCUCGGAUCAGGUAGGAAUACCCGCUGAACUUAAGCAUAUCAAUAAGCGGAGGA
Molecule: unclassified non-coding RNA, 333 nt
Filed under: soil metagenome
Description: partial contains 5.8S ribosomal RNA, internal transcribed spacer 2, and large subunit ribosomal RNA
Rfam family: 5.8S ribosomal RNA (bases 1-120)
Source: RNAcentral